This 542-nucleotide long non-coding RNA is filed under the name Malus domestica (apple). RNAcentral's name for it is "long non-coding RNA (MDOM_LNC021216)". The record is from RNAcentral. Lineage: Eukaryota; Viridiplantae; Streptophyta; Magnoliopsida; Rosales; Rosaceae.
UGAAAUGUGGGAUUUAUGGAUGUAAGGAUGGAAUGAAUCUCAUGGCAUGGAAAAUGGAAGUGUAUGGAGAUGUGUUUGAAUUUAUGGAUGAAAUGGAAUGGAGCUCACGGCAAGGUACUUGUGUUUGUGAAUGAAGCUCUUUUUUGAUGGAUCAAGAUGGUUUUUCUUAGGAAUGGGAAUGGUGGAUGCAUUUAUAGGCUAGUAUGAGGACCACUCCAUUUCCUUUGCAUGUGCAGUUUGCAUGGGUGUGUGUUGUCCAUGUUUCCUUUUACAUUUGUACACACAUGCACUCAUCAUUUCAGCCACAAAUCACUACACUUUAUGCCCAUGCCGUGUGUCUUUCUUUCCCUUUGCAUGUAUUUGUUCCAUGUUCUUGUGGCAGAAAUGUUAAGUAAUGAUGAAGGGUUGCUGCUGAACAAGUGUGAAGGAUGGUGCUCAAGGCCUCUUUGCAUGUGUCAUUGCUGUCAUGUUAUCAUUAUUUCCACUUCUUCAUUCUUCAUUUUCUGAUUUCCUGCUGCCCAUGUGCCUUCAUUCUACAUUUC